GGGGAUUUAGCUCACUGGUAGAGCGCUUGCCUAGCAAGCACAAGGCCCUGGGUUCAGUCCCCAGCUCCG
Molecule: transfer RNA, 69 nt
Filed under: Rattus norvegicus (Norway rat)
Lineage: Eukaryota; Metazoa; Chordata; Mammalia; Rodentia; Muridae
Rfam family: tRNA
About the family: Transfer RNA (tRNA) molecules are approximately 80 nucleotides in length.
Source: Rfam by way of RNAcentral